UGGGCUACUAGCUCAGGUGGUAGAGCACUUGACUUUUAAUCAAGUUGUCGCGGGUUCGAGUCCCGCGUGGCUCAU
RNAcentral lists this transfer RNA (75 nucleotides) under Firmicutes bacterium ADurb.Bin354. RNAcentral describes it as "tRNA-Lys". It matches the Rfam family "tRNA". Rfam says of the family: Transfer RNA (tRNA) molecules are approximately 80 nucleotides in length. Their secondary structure includes four short double-helical elements and three loops (D, anti-codon, and T loops). Lineage: Bacteria; Bacillati; Bacillota. The record is from RNAcentral.